GGAAUAUUGGACAAUGGGCGCAAGCCUGAUCCAGCCAUGCCGCGUGUGUGAAGAAGGCCUUAGGGUUGUAAAGCACUUUCAGUGGGGAGAAAGGUGGUUUGGUUAAUAACCGGAUCAAUUGCUGUUACCCACAGAAGAACCACCGGCUAACUCCGUGCCAGCAGACGCGGUAAUACGGAGGGUGCAAGCGUUAAUCGGAAUUACUGGGCGUAAAGCGCACGUAGGCGGUUUGUGAAGCCAGCUGUGAAAUCCCCGGGCUCAACCUGGGAAUUGCAGUUGGAACUGGCAAGCUAGAGUAUGGUAGAGGGGUGUGGAAUUUCAGGUGUAGCGGUGAAAUGCGUAGAUAUCUGAAGGAACAUCAGUGGCGAAGGCGACACCCUGGAUCAAUACUGACGCUGAGGUGCGAAAGCGUGGGGAGCAAAC
RNAcentral lists this ribosomal RNA (423 nucleotides) under uncultured bacterium. RNAcentral's name for it is "bacterial SSU rRNA". It matches the Rfam family "Bacterial small subunit ribosomal RNA", at positions 358 to 773 of the family's 1533-position model. The record is from RNAcentral.